CCCUUAGAUGUUCUGGGCCGCACGCGCGCUACACUGACGAAUGCAACGAGCUUAUAACCUUGGCCGAAAGGUCUGGGUAAUCUUUGAAAUUUCAUCGUGAUGGGGAUAGAUUAUUGCAAUUAUUAAUCUUCAACGAGGAAUUCCUAGUAAGCGCGAGUCAUCAGCUCGCGUUGAUUACGUCCCUGCCCUUUGUACACACCGCCCGUCGCUCCUACCGAUUGAAUGGUCCGGUGAAAUGUUCGGACCGCGACAAGGCGGACGGUUCGCUGUCAGCUUUGCUGCGGGAAGUUCAUUAAACCUUAUCAUUUAGAGGAAGGAGAAGUCGUAACA
This 330-nucleotide ribosomal RNA is filed under the name uncultured eukaryote. RNAcentral's name for it is "partial 18S ribosomal RNA". It matches the Rfam family "Eukaryotic small subunit ribosomal RNA", at positions 1470 to 1796 of the family's 1831-position model. The record is from RNAcentral.